AUCAGGUACAGUGGUACACACCUGUGGUCCCAGCUACUUAGGAGGCUGAGGUGAGAGGAUUGCUUGAGCCCAGGAAUUCUGGGCUGCAGUGUGCUAUACCAAUUAGGUGUCUGCACUAAAUUCAGUAUCAAUAUGCUGACCACCUGGGAUCGAGGGGCUGGGGUUGACCACCAGGUUGUCUAAGAAUGGUAAACUGGUCCAGAUCAGAAACGGAGCAGGUCAAAGCUCUCAUGCUUAUUGGUAGUGGGAUAGUGCCUAUAAAUAUCUACUGCACUCCAGGCUUGGCAACAAAGUGAGACCUCAGCUCU
This 308-nucleotide signal recognition particle RNA is filed under the name Aotus nancymaae (Ma's night monkey). Its description in RNAcentral is "Metazoan signal recognition particle RNA (ENSANAG00000003040.1)". It matches the Rfam family "Metazoan signal recognition particle RNA". From Rfam's summary of the family: The signal recognition particle (SRP) is a universally conserved ribonucleoprotein. It is involved in the co-translational targeting of proteins to membranes. The eukaryotic SRP consists of a 300-nucleotide 7S RNA and six proteins: SRPs 72, 68, 54, 19, 14, and 9. Lineage: Eukaryota; Metazoa; Chordata; Mammalia; Primates; Aotidae. The record is from RNAcentral.